RNAcentral lists this ribosomal RNA (2900 nucleotides) under Klebsiella pneumoniae. RNAcentral describes it as "bacterial LSU rRNA". It matches the Rfam family "Bacterial large subunit ribosomal RNA". Lineage: Bacteria; Pseudomonadati; Pseudomonadota; Gammaproteobacteria; Enterobacterales; Enterobacteriaceae. The record is from RNAcentral.
UUAAGCGACUAAGCGUACACGGUGGAUGCCCUGGCAGUCAGAGGCGAUGAAGGACGUGCUAAUCUGCGAAAAGCGUCGGUAAGGUGAUAUGAACCGUUAUAACCGGCGAUGUCCGAAUGGGGAAACCCAGUGUGAUUCGUCACACUAUCGUUAACUGAAUACAUAGGUUAACGAGGCGAACCGGGGGAACUGAAACAUCUAAGUACCCCGAGGAAAAGAAAUCAACCGAGAUUCCCCCAGUAGCGGCGAGCGAACGGGGAGCAGCCCAGAGUCUGAAUCAGCUUGUGUGUUAGUGGAACGGUCUGGAAAGUCCGACGGUACAGGGUGAUAGUCCCGUACACCAAAAUGCACAGGCUGUGAACUCGAAGAGUAGGGCGGGACACGUGGUAUCCUGUCUGAAUAUGGGGGGACCAUCCUCCAAGGCUAAAUACUCCUGACUGACCGAUAGUGAACCAGUACCGUGAGGGAAAGGCGAAAAGAACCCCGGCGAGGGGAGUGAAAAAGAACCUGAAACCGUGUACGUACAAGCAGUGGGAGCACCUUCGGGUGUGACUGCGUACCUUUUGUAUAAUGGGUCAGCGACUUAUAUUCUGUAGCAAGGUUAACCGUAUAGGGGAGCCGCAGGGAAACCGAGUCUUAACUGGGCGUUAAGUUGCAGGGUAUAGACCCGAAACCCGGUGAUCUAGCCAUGGGCAGGUUGAAGGUUGGGUAACACUAACUGGAGGACCGAACCGACUAAUGUUGAAAAAUUAGCGGAUGACUUGUGGCUGGGGGUGAAAGGCCAAUCAAACCGGGAGAUAGCUGGUUCUCCCCGAAAGCUAUUUAGGUAGCGCCUCGUGAACUCAUCUUCGGGGGUAGAGCACUGUUUCGGCUAGGGGGUCAUCCCGACUUACCAACCCGAUGCAAACUACGAAUACCGAAGAAUGUUAUCACGGGAGACACACGGCGGGUGCUAACGUCCGUCGUGAAGAGGGAAACAACCCAGACCGCCAGCUAAGGUCCCAAAGUCAUGGUUAAGUGGGAAACGAUGUGGGAAGGCACAGACAGCCAGGAUGUUGGCUUAGAAGCAGCCAUCAUUUAAAGAAAGCGUAAUAGCUCACUGGUCGAGUCGGCCUGCGCGGAAGAUGUAACGGGGCUAAACCAUGCACCGAAGCUGCGGCAGCGACACUAUGUGUUGUUGGGUAGGGGAGCGUUCUGUAAGCCUGCGAAGGUGUGCUGUGAGGCAUGCUGGAGGUAUCAGAAGUGCGAAUGCUGACAUAAGUAACGAUAAAGCGGGUGAAAAGCCCGCUCGCCGGAAGACCAAGGGUUCCUGUCCAACGUUAAUCGGGGCAGGGUGAGUCGACCCCUAAGGCGAGGCCGAAAGGCGUAGUCGAUGGGAAACAGGUUAAUAUUCCUGUACUUGGUGUUACUGCGAAGGGGGGACGGAGAAGGCUAUGUUAGCCGGGCGACGGUUGUCCCGGUUUAAGCAUGUAGGCUGGUUAUCCAGGCAAAUCCGGAUAAUCAAGGCUGAGGUGUGAUGACGAGGCACUACGGUGCUGAAGUAACAAAUGCCCUGCUUCCAGGAAAAGCCUCUAAGCAUCAGGUAACAUCAAAUCGUACCCCAAACCGACACAGGUGGUCAGGUAGAGAAUACCAAGGCGCUUGAGAGAACUCGGGUGAAGGAACUAGGCAAAAUGGUGCCGUAACUUCGGGAGAAGGCACGCUGGUGUGUAGGUGAAGUCCCUGCGGAUGGAGCUGAGACCAGUCGAAGAUACCAGCUGGCUGCAACUGUUUAUUAAAAACACAGCACUGUGCAAACACGAAAGUGGACGUAUACGGUGUGACGCCUGCCCGGUGCCGGAAGGUUAAUUGAUGGGGUUAUCCGUAAGGAGAAGCUCUUGAUCGAAGCCCCGGUAAACGGCGGCCGUAACUAUAACGGUCCUAAGGUAGCGAAAUUCCUUGUCGGGUAAGUUCCGACCUGCACGAAUGGCGUAAUGAUGGCCAGGCUGUCUCCACCCGAGACUCAGUGAAAUUGAACUCGCUGUGAAGAUGCAGUGUACCCGCGGCAAGACGGAAAGACCCCGUGAACCUUUACUAUAGCUUGACACUGAACAUUGAGCCUUGAUGUGUAGGAUAGGUGGGAGGCUUUGAAGCGUGGACGCCAGUCUGCGUGGAGCCAACCUUGAAAUACCACCCUUUAAUGUUUGAUGUUCUAACGUUGGCCCCUGACCGGGGUUGCGGACAGUGUCUGGUGGGUAGUUUGACUGGGGCGGUCUCCUCCCAAAGCGUAACGGAGGAGCACGAAGGUUAGCUAAUCCUGGUCGGACAUCAGGAGGUUAGUGCAAUGGCAUAAGCUAGCUUGACUGCGAGCGUGACGGCGCGAGCAGGUGCGAAAGCAGGUCAUAGUGAUCCGGUGGUUCUGAAUGGAAGGGCCAUCGCUCAACGGAUAAAAGGUACUCCGGGGAUAACAGGCUGAUACCGCCCAAGAGUUCAUAUCGACGGCGGUGUUUGGCACCUCGAUGUCGGCUCAUCACAUCCUGGGGCUGAAGUAGGUCCCAAGGGUAUGGCUGUUCGCCAUUUAAAGUGGUACGCGAGCUGGGUUUAGAACGUCGUGAGACAGUUCGGUCCCUAUCUGCCGUGGGCGCUGGAGAAUUGAGGGGGGCUGCUCCUAGUACGAGAGGACCGGAGUGGACGCAUCACUGGUGUUCGGGUUGUCAUGCCAAUGGCACUGCCCGGUAGCUAAAUGCGGAAGAGAUAAGUGCUGAAAGCAUCUAAGCACGAAACUUGCCCCGAGAUGAGUUCUCCCUGAGACUAUAAGUCUCCUGAAGGAACGUUAAAGACGAUGACGUUGAUAGGCCGGGUGUGUAAGCGCAGCGAUGCGUUGAGCUAACCGGUACUAAUGAACCGUGAGGCUUAACCUU